RNAcentral lists this ribosomal RNA (109 nucleotides) under uncultured Campylobacter sp. Its description in RNAcentral is "partial 16S ribosomal RNA". It matches the Rfam family "Bacterial small subunit ribosomal RNA", at positions 1219 to 1327 of the family's 1533-position model. Lineage: Bacteria; Pseudomonadati; Campylobacterota; Epsilonproteobacteria; Campylobacterales; Campylobacteraceae. The record is from RNAcentral.
CACGUGCUACAAUGGCAUAUACGAUGAGAAGCAAUACCGCGAGGUGGAGCAAAUCUAUAAAAUAUGUCUUAGUUCGGAUUGUUCUCUGCAACUCGAGAGCAUGAAGCCA